ACAGUGGACUACAUGAUAAAGCAGCGGGAAGAUUUUGAACCCUUUGUAGAAGAUGACAUUCCUUUUGAGAAGCAUGUGGCCAGUUUGGCAAAGCCUGGUACUUUUGCUGGCAAUGAUGCAAUUGUAGCCUUUGCAAGAAAUCAUCAGUUGAAUGUAGUGAUUCAUCAACUUAAUGCCCCUUUGUGGCAGAUUCGUGGUACAGAUAAAAGCAGCGUGAGGGAGUUACACAUCGCAUAUCGGUAUGGAGAGCACUACGACAGUGUUCGGAGGAUCAAUGACAACUCAGAGGCACCUGCACAUCUCCAGACGGAUGUGAGUGAGGCCUCGGUUUUCUCCCGUAUUCCCAGCCCUACAGGAAACAGGUCGAGAGCUGUAUAUCUGGCGCUAAAAACCAGUAAUGUUUUUGUGGAAAGUUGGCAUUAAGAAUCUGUGGGCCUGAUUUUAAAAAUAUUUUUUAUUUCUUAG
Molecule: small RNA, 465 nt
Filed under: Pongo abelii (Sumatran orangutan)
Lineage: Eukaryota; Metazoa; Chordata; Mammalia; Primates; Hominidae
Description: processed transcript
Source: RNAcentral